RNAcentral lists this transfer RNA (71 nucleotides) under Phellinotus piptadeniae. Its description in RNAcentral is "tRNA-Met". It matches the Rfam family "tRNA". Rfam says of the family: Transfer RNA (tRNA) molecules are approximately 80 nucleotides in length. Lineage: Eukaryota; Fungi; Basidiomycota; Agaricomycetes; Hymenochaetales; Hymenochaetaceae. The record is from RNAcentral.
UGCGAUUUAGUGUAAAGGUUUGCACAUCAGCCUCAUGAGCUGGGGGACAGGUUCGAAUCCUAGGGUCGCAA